CCUACGGGUGGCAGCAGUGAGGAAUAUUGGUCAAUGGGCGGAAGCCUGAACCAGCCAAGCCGCGUGAGGGAAGACGGUCCUAUGGAUUGUAAACUUCUUUAGUCGGGGAGCAAUGCCGGGCACGCGUGCCCGGAGGGAGAGUCCCCGCAGUAUAAGCAUCGGCUAUCUCCGGGCCAGCGGCCGCGGUAUUCCGGGGGAUGCGGGGGUUAUCGGGAUUUGUUGGGUUAAAAGGGUGGGUAGGCGGAGUGUUAAGUCAGCGGUAAAAGGUCGGGGCUAAACCCGGGGCGGCCGUGGAAACUGGGGAUCUUGAGUGGGCGAGAGGUAUGCGGAAUGCGUGGUGUGGCGGUGAAAUGCAUAGAUAUGACGCAGAACUCCGAUUGCGAAGGCAGCAUACCGGCGCCCGACUGACGCUGAGGCACGAAAGCGUGGGGAUCGAACAGGAUUAGAUACCCUAGUAGUC
This 460-nucleotide ribosomal RNA is filed under the name uncultured bacterium. RNAcentral describes it as "partial 16S ribosomal RNA". It matches the Rfam family "Bacterial small subunit ribosomal RNA", at positions 338 to 795 of the family's 1533-position model. The record is from RNAcentral.